Molecule: ribosomal RNA, 209 nt
Filed under: uncultured bacterium
Lineage: Bacteria
Description: partial 16S ribosomal RNA
Rfam family: Bacterial small subunit ribosomal RNA
Source: RNAcentral
UACGGAGGGGGUUAGCGUUGUUCGGAAUUACUGGGCGUAAAGCGCACGUAGGCGGAUCAGAAAGUUGGGGGUGAAAUCCCGGGGCUCAACCCCGGGAACCUGCCUCCAAAAACUCCUGGUUCUUGAGUUCGAGAGAGGUGAGUGGAAUUCCGAGUGUAGAGGUGAAAUUCGUAGAUAUUCGGAAGGAACACCAGUGGCGAAAGGCGGGC